Molecule: ribosomal RNA, 441 nt
Filed under: Acantholobulus mirafloresensis
Lineage: Eukaryota; Metazoa; Arthropoda; Malacostraca; Decapoda; Panopeidae
Description: partial large subunit ribosomal RNA
Rfam family: Bacterial large subunit ribosomal RNA (bases 320-441)
Source: RNAcentral
GUAGCAUAAUCAUUAGGGGUUUAAUUGGAACCUGGUAUGAAGGGUUGGACAAAGGAAAGACUGUCUUUAUAUUAAUAAUUGAAGUUUACUUUUAAGUGAAAAGGCUUAAAUAAGUCAAAGGGACGAUAAGACCCUAUAAAGCUUUAUAAAUUACUUAAAUUUAAUUAAUUUAGACUAUAAAAAUAAAGUUUAAUUAUUUUAUUUUGUUGGGGUGACGUGAGUAUAAAUAUUGUUAACUGCUUAAUAAUAAUACAAUUAUUAGUGAUUUAAGUUUUAAAUGAUCCUUUUUAAAGAUUAAAAGAUUAAGUUACUUUAGGGGUAACAGCGUUAUUUCUUUUGAGAGUUCAUAUCGAAAAAGAAGAUUGCGACCUCGAUGUUGAAUUAAAAUAUCUGUGUAAUGUAGCCGUUACAUAAGAGGGUCUGUUCGACCUUUAAAUUUUU